Molecule: ribosomal RNA, 312 nt
Filed under: uncultured bacterium
Lineage: Bacteria
Description: bacterial SSU rRNA
Rfam family: Bacterial small subunit ribosomal RNA
Source: RNAcentral
AAUCAACGCUGGCGGCGUGCCUCAGACAUGCAAGUCGUACGAUUAAACUUUCCUUCGGGAAAGAUAUAAAGUGGCGCACGGGUGAGUAACACGUAAGUAAUCUACCUUUGAGUGGGGAAUAACAGUCGGAAACGACUGCUAAUACCGCAUAAUGCAGCGGCUCGACAUCGAGACAGUUGUUAAAGAAUUUAUUCGCUUAAAGAGGAGCUUGCGGCAGAUUAGCUAGUUGGUAAGGUAAUGGCUUACCAAGGCGACGAUCUGUAGCCGACCUGAGAGGGUGGUCGGUCACACUGACACUGAAUAACGGGUCAG